RNAcentral lists this transfer RNA (74 nucleotides) under Clostridia bacterium. RNAcentral's name for it is "tRNA-Gly". It matches the Rfam family "tRNA". From Rfam's summary of the family: Transfer RNA (tRNA) molecules are approximately 80 nucleotides in length. The record is from RNAcentral. Lineage: Bacteria; Bacillati; Bacillota; Clostridia.
GCAGGUGUAGCUCAAUGGUAGAGUUCCGGCCUUCCAAGCCGGCCGCGUGGGUCCGAUUCCCAUCACCUGCUCCA